AGCUUUGUAAAGCACCGUAAAAGCAAACAUCGAUCUGUCACAGCAAGAGGCAGAAACCUAUCUGCGCUCAGGUAGCGCGGCCCCAGGAACUUUUGGCAGGAAGGCACUACAUCAAAGUAGAAGACAGAAUAAGAUAAUGCUGCAUGUAUUGGGCUCUAAUUUGCCAGUCAGUAGCCUUGGAAGACGAAUUACCAGGUCUUUUGUCUACAAUCAGAACAGACACAUAUAGUGAAGAGUUUUAUUGAAGGCUUCUUUGUAAAUUUAUCUGUGAAAUAAAGAUCCUAUAUAAACUAU
Long non-coding RNA from Catharus ustulatus (Swainson's thrush), 294 nucleotides. RefSeq lists it as uncharacterized. Lineage: Eukaryota; Metazoa; Chordata; Aves; Passeriformes; Turdidae. The transcript has 3 exons. The record is from RefSeq and is a predicted model, not a curated record.